Non-coding RNA from Sphagnurus paluster, 93 nucleotides. Lineage: Eukaryota; Fungi; Basidiomycota; Agaricomycetes; Agaricales; Lyophyllaceae. The record is from the annotation of a GenBank genome assembly.
GCCCGCCUAGCUCAAUCGGCUAGAGCGUCAGACUUUUAAGGCUGUCCGCCUAAUGACAUCUGAAGGCUGCGAGUUCGACCCUCGCGGUGGGCU